UGAAACAAUAGCACAGGUAGCAAGAGGUGCUGGGAGUAGCCUAGGAGAGCAGCUUUUGACAUGACAUAUGGAAGACUGAACUUGCUCAGGGUCCUGAGUUUGGAUGUUUCUAGUACUAGCUAUUGAGGUAAGGGAGGCAAGGACAACAAAAGCAAAAAUAAACAAAUGGGACUACAUCAAACUAAUAAAAUUAUUGCAGUGAAGGAAACCAUCAACAAAAUAAGGGUGCCCAACAAUUUAGCUUGGCAGACCAUGUGUAGAAUUGCUGCACCUCAAUUCAAGAUGGCGGCUGGUGGCGGAACCCUGAGCAGCACAGCUGC
Orcinus orca (killer whale) is the source of this 320-nucleotide long non-coding RNA. RefSeq lists it as uncharacterized. The transcript is spliced from 4 exons. The record is from RefSeq and is a predicted model, not a curated record. NCBI's taxonomy places the organism in Eukaryota, Metazoa, Chordata, Mammalia, Artiodactyla, Delphinidae.